GGGUGCUUAGCUCAGUUGGUAGAGCGCGUCCCUUUUAAGGACGAUGUCGCAGGUUCGAUCCCUGCAGCACCCACCA
Molecule: transfer RNA, 76 nt
Filed under: Alphaproteobacteria bacterium
Lineage: Bacteria; Pseudomonadati; Pseudomonadota; Alphaproteobacteria
Also listed under: 1 other name
Description: tRNA-Lys
Rfam family: tRNA
About the family: Transfer RNA (tRNA) molecules are approximately 80 nucleotides in length. Their secondary structure includes four short double-helical elements and three loops (D, anti-codon, and T loops).
Source: RNAcentral